CGAUUCCUCUGUAGUUCAGUCGGUAGAACGGCGGACUGUUAAUCCGUAUGUCACUGGUUCGAGUCCAGUCAGAUUGA
This 77-nucleotide transfer RNA is filed under the name Enterobacter sp. Its description in RNAcentral is "tRNA-Asn". The stretch from base 8 to 73 matches the Rfam family "tRNA". From Rfam's summary of the family: Transfer RNA (tRNA) molecules are approximately 80 nucleotides in length. Lineage: Bacteria; Pseudomonadati; Pseudomonadota; Gammaproteobacteria; Enterobacterales; Enterobacteriaceae. The record is from RNAcentral.